Molecule: long non-coding RNA, 1391 nt
Organism: Lycium barbarum (goji berry)
Lineage: Eukaryota; Viridiplantae; Streptophyta; Magnoliopsida; Solanales; Solanaceae
Exons: 2
Source: RefSeq, a predicted model, not a curated record
ACAAGGUGCAAAAGUGAGUCCUCAAAAGAGGGAAUACGUGUAGCAAUAUGGGGAAUAAUAUAUAAAAUAAGGCAUAGUGCAAAUGACACUUUCCAACUCCACUUGUUGAAAAAUCAGCUUUCAAGAACUAAACAAACCAAGAAAAAGAAGAGUUGAAAGAGAAGGAGGUCACGGCUAGAGUGGAGAAAAAAAAAAAUCAGUUUUGUGAUUUAAUAAAAUUCUAAGGAGAAGACAAGGAGAGGGAGGUGGAGAAGCAAGAAUAAGUAUAAGAAUUUAAGACACAAAUUGGAGCCAAGUAUUCAAGGUAAGAAUUGGUUAUUUCUUUUACAUUUAUAAUGAGUUUGGAUACAUUAUGAACAUGUAUAGAUGAUGAAUUGAAUGUAUAUAAUUUUUUUUGCAUGUCGGUAUUGGAUUGUUGUUGUUGAAGUUGAAGUGAGCCGUGAGUGAUAGGUUUAGAUGGAAUCAUGCUUAAUCUUCUUGUACAUGUAUUGGGAGUAAAUUGAAUGUGUUGUGGUGUGGAUAAAUGGAUAAAAAAAAAUCAUGAAGUUGUCGUAGUUGUGUUGAAGCCGUGUAGGGGGCUGUUUUGAGGCUAGUUGUGCGUUUGACGUAAAUUGUAUAUUUUAUGAAAAUCAUAUCGUUAUAUUGUGGAUUGUGAUACAAAACAUGACUUAAAAAUAAGGAAAGCAACGAGAGGGCUGCUCACAGUUUAGGGGACUGGUUUCGGCCAGCUUUGGGAAAAUUUUUGGAUUGUUGGAAAAAAAUUAUGUGAAUGGUUUAGAAGUCCUCUAAUGUUGUUAGUAUGGAUUUGGGUUAAUAAUCGAAUGUACGAACGAUAUUGUGGCUUGAAAGUAAGCCGUUGAAACGAAUAUUUGGAAAGUUGUUGAAAGAUGUAAAAGAGAGCUAUUAAUGUUGUUUUGCCUUUCGAAUUGAUUAUUGAUGUUGCUAGGUUGGUUAUUGUGGUUGUUGUUGAUUUUGAGCGAGAUAAAUUCUCGGGAUGGCCUAUUUAUAGGGGAAGUGCUGCCGAAUUUUCUGUAGAAUUUAAUGAUUAGUUGGAAAGAAUGGCUCAAGUGUCCUUAACUAAUGUUUGGUAUUCGUUGGCGUAUUUGUAGACCUUGGGGAGCCCGAGGCGUAGAUUGGAAAUUUACUUUAGAUUGGCUAUUUUGGAAGUGCGUAAGAGGUACAGACGCACAGCCUGGUGAUCCACCUGUUUAGGACACCCUUUCUGCUAUUCGGAGUGCUCCUCUCUUUCCGGAGCUUAUACUUUUGGUAUAUAUAUUUUUAUUAGUGCAUUUGUAUAUAUUCGUUCAUGGGUACGGCGGGGGCCCUGUCCCGUCAUAUGAUUCUGUCGGUCUGUUUAGAGGUCUGUGGACAUGUUUGUGGGUUAGGGUCUU